CCUACGGGAGGCAGCAGUGAGGAAUUUUGCACAAUGGGGGAAACCCUGAUGCAGCGACGCCGCGUGACCGAAGAAGCCCCUCGGGGUGUAAAGGUCUUUUCUGAAGGAUGAAUUAUGGCAGUACUUCAGGAAUAAGCCACGGCUAAUCUCGUGCCAGCAGCCGCGGUAAGACGAGAGUGGCAAGCGUUAUCCGGAAUUAUUGGGCGUAAAGCGUCUGUAGGCGAUCUGGCAAGUUUUUUGUGAAAUUCCAAUGCUCAACAUUGGAGCUGCAGAAAAUACUGCCAGAAUUGAGGAAGAUAGAGGUAAGCGGAAUUCCUAGUGUAGCGGUGAAAUGCGUAGAUAUUAGGAAGAACACCAGUGGCGAAGGCGGCUUUCUGGACUGUAACUGACGCUGAGGCACGAAAGCGUGGGGAGCGAACAGGAUUAGAUACCCUUGUAGUC
Molecule: ribosomal RNA, 441 nt
Filed under: uncultured bacterium
Lineage: Bacteria
Description: bacterial SSU rRNA
Rfam family: Bacterial small subunit ribosomal RNA
Source: RNAcentral